UGUUUGAAUUGUUAUAACAGCUUUUCAUGUGUAUAAUAUAAUAUCAGUGAUGUAUAAUAUAUCUUAAAACUUGAUUAUUGCAGGAUCUAUCUGAACUAUUCACACCUCUAAGUGACAAAGACGAAAGAGAAGUCAAUGCUCUGUUGUGUAGUAGUGAUGACAAAUUUACUUAGCAUAUCCUCUGUUGUGCAGUAGUGAUGACAGAACGGAAAUAGCUGUGGUGGUUUCUACAACGGUAGCUUUAUGCAGGAGGUUAGUACGCUAGAGCUGAAGCACACUUCAUGAAUAAGGUUGAAGCCUUACGAACCUUGGGCGGACGGGAUGUGGCCUGCGCGGAAGCCAGAUGCACCCGAGGUUCCAGAAGCUCCACGCGCGACCGGUCGGAGGACGCGGAUGGUACGUCGAGGGGGAAGCUAAGCUCACAGUAUAACUUUCCAGCCUUAGCACGGGAAUCCGAUGCGCAGGUGGGAGGGAAGCUAGGAACAAGCACGCUCGGCAGAGGAAGCGGAAGGUCAUAUCGCGGAUGGCGUUGAGGGCCAGAACGCGACGCCGGGGCUUCUUUCGUGCUUGAGCGACAGGAGCGAGGUCCAUGAGAUGGAGCAGGGGCGGGGUCACGGAUAGUGUGGAUGCCCUCGUCCACUCUUAUGCUAUUUUAUAUCUCAGAAUGUGAAUACUUAUGUUUUCUAUAAUAAUCAUGGGUCAUUUUUACUAUCCUGGGAA
Molecule: long non-coding RNA, 720 nt
Organism: Zea mays
Lineage: Eukaryota; Viridiplantae; Streptophyta; Magnoliopsida; Poales; Poaceae
Exons: 3
Source: RefSeq, a predicted model, not a curated record